AUGGCCGGCAUGGAUGAGCCGAUGUCCAGGCUCACCCACGACCUGAUCGCGGAGAUCCUCUCUCGCGUGCCCUACAAAUCUCUCUGCAUCUGCAAGUGCGUCUGCCCGGCCUGGCGCGCCAUCAUCGCCGACCCCGCGCGCCGGAAGAAGAUGUCGCAGACCCUGGCCGGAUUCUUCUACCGCAUCACCGGUGAAGGCAAGGCCGAGCCCAGCGGCUUCGCCGGCGUCGAGUACGCGGAUCUGUCUCCUUUCCCUUGGUCGGGCGCCCCCGAGACCCACCCGCGCCUGCCACUACCGCCCGACAGCACGGACUGCUUCUUCUCCCUCGAGGAUUCCUGCGAUGGACUUUUUCUUGCAAGCAUCCGCACGGGCGCCCCUUUUGGAACAUCUCGCUACAUGGUCUCCAAUCCAGCUAGCAGUGAGUAUGCUGUGCUGCCUCACUCUGGCUACGCUAGCAACAACAGCAUUGCUUACCUGGGUUUCGACAGUAGCGUAUCCACUCAAGAGUUUCAUGUGUUCGAGUUUGUACACGACUGGAGACACCCGGAACACGGCGGCAUACAUUUCAUGGUUGUGACAGAAGUGAGGAUUUACUCUUCAAAUACCGGUGCAUGGGUGGCAAUGGAACCCAAAUGGGUCAUUCAAGUUGGCUUGUGCUUUGGUCAGCCUGGAGUUUUCCAUAAGGGAUGUUUGCACGUGCUCACGGAUGAGUCCGGACUGGCGAUAGUUGAUGCACAAGGGCUAAAAUGGAGAACCGUCCUGCUGCCAGCUAAUAGUUCCUCGGAUUUCAUUGGGAAGUCUGCUGGACAGCUAUUGUAUAUCAACUCCCGAUACCGCUCAGACCGAUCUUUGACUAUGUUGGUUUACGCUCUUAGUGAUGAGAUUUAUAACUGGGAUGUGUGUCAUCAGGAUGGCAAAUGCAUGCACUGGAAAUUGUUGCGCAAGCUUUCAAAUGUUAUUCCAAAGAAUAAGUUUCUCAAAGUCAUUGGAGUACACCCACAUGCCAAUCUGAUCUUCAUAGCUCAUUCAGACAAUGGACUGUUGGCAUACGAUUUGGAUCAUCAUGAAAGUACAAUUGUACAUCACCUUGAUCAUAAGUACCCUGAAUUUGUGCAAUUUUUCCCAUAUGUGCCACUAUUGUCCUGCCUACCAUUGGAUGGAGGAAUACGGCUGGUAACUCCCAGUUGA
RNAcentral lists this ribosomal RNA (1188 nucleotides) under Triticum aestivum (bread wheat). RNAcentral describes it as "partial small subunit ribosomal RNA". The record is from RNAcentral. Lineage: Eukaryota; Viridiplantae; Streptophyta; Magnoliopsida; Poales; Poaceae.